Pristis pectinata (smalltooth sawfish) is the source of this 1551-nucleotide non-coding RNA. NCBI's taxonomy places the organism in Eukaryota, Metazoa, Chordata, Chondrichthyes, Rhinopristiformes, Pristidae. The record is from the annotation of a RefSeq genome assembly.
AUGGCCACCCUCGAGUGUGUGGUCUCUGGAUUCUACCCGGACCUCAUAAACGUCACCUGGGAGAAAGACGGCUCCCUGAUCUCCUCCAACACCAGUGCUACACCGACUGCUCUGGAGCAGGGGGGCACUUUCAUUGCCAGCCACUUCCUGACUGUGAGUACAGAGGAGUGGAAGAAAGGCUCAAUCUUCAGCUGUACAGUGUCUCAUCCCCCCUCCAACACCAGUAUCAGCCGGGAGGUGAAAAGCAUUCAAGAAUUGUCUGUCUUUAUCCAAAAUCCCUCCACUGAAGAGAUUUGGAUCAACAAGACAGCUACUCUGGUGUGCAUGGUUGUGGGUGCUGAUCUGAGCCAGGUACAAAUCUACUGGCAGGUGAGCGAGAGGGAGAAAAUUAAAGGAAAUGUGACCAAAAAACUGAGAGAGGAAGGGACCCAAGACACAGUGAUCAGCCAACUCCAGACCAGUGUGGAGGAGUGGUCCAGUGGGGUGGAGUACGUGUGCUCUGCCCAACAACCUUCUUCAUCCUCAGCAGUGUCAGCGCGGACAAAAAGUACCAAAGUGGAGACAAAAAGUCCCAAGGUCAGACUGCUGCCUCCACCACAUGAAGGGACCAAGAGUAGGAACAUGGCCACCCUCGAGUGUGUGGUCUCUGGAUUCUACCCAGACCACAUAAGCGUCACCUGGGAGAAAGACGGCUCCCUGAUCUCCUCCAACACCCGUGCUACACCGACUGCUCUGGAGCAGGGGGGCACUUUCAGUGCCAGCCACUUCCUAACUGUGAGUACAGAGGAGUGGAAGAAAGGCUCAGUCUUCAGCUGUACAGUGUCUCAUCCCCCCUCAAACACCAGUGUCAGCCAGGAGGUGAAAAGCAUUCAAGUGGGGACAAAAAGUCCCAAGGUCAGACUGCUGCCUCCACCACACGAAGGGACCCAGAGUAGGAACACGGCCACCCUCGAGUGUGUGGUCUUUGGAUUCUACCCGGACCUCAUAAACAUCACCUGGGAGAAAGACAGCUCCCUGAUCUCCUCCAACACCAGUGCUACACCGACUGCUCUGGAGCAGGGGGGCACUUUCAGUGCCAGCCACUACCUGACUGAGAAGAGGUCCAUCAGGAAGUCCCAGGAAUCCUGCACAGACUUGACAGGAGAGGAGGGGAAGGAAGAACUGGGAGACUUGGAUGGAGAUGACAAUGUGCUGGCAGUUGCUGCCUUUGCCAUUCUGUUCGUUAUCAGUUUCCUCUACAGCACCUUCGUCACCGUCGUCAAGGCCAUGCUCCGUGUACAGACUGGGGGAAUGGUGCUGGGGCUAGUUGUGGAGGAGCUGCUGUGGGACUGUGGGGAGGUCAGUUCUCGGGAUGAACUGGGCUGGUCGUCCCUGAAGUGGGGUCCUGGGGAAGGGAGUCACACACAGAGACAAACCCUCGACGGGACAGGGGAGAAUUGGCCUCACUCGUCAGCCAGUGCUGAAGCCCCGAUAUCCCCGUCAGAUACCAAGGACACGUCAAACCCGGGCACUGGAGGGACACAGGAGCCUCACGUGAAGCAAACUUUGUGA